This is a long non-coding RNA of Mercurialis annua (annual mercury), 284 nucleotides long. RefSeq lists it as uncharacterized. The record is from RefSeq and is a predicted model, not a curated record. The transcript has 2 exons. NCBI's taxonomy places the organism in Eukaryota, Viridiplantae, Streptophyta, Magnoliopsida, Malpighiales, Euphorbiaceae.
CUUGAGUUGAAUUGAAGCAAAGUUGAUGGUGAAUUUGAGCUUGAAGUGUUUGGCCAUGAUCAACAAUCCAAGACUCGACGAAGCGACUAUCGACAAGGCUUGAGGGGAACGGAUCGAGAUGUCUUCGUGUUUAUUUAAAGAUUAUGGAUAGCAAGUGGUGAGUACACUUUAAAUUACUCGUCAAUAUUCAUAAAGCCGCAUAUUUUAUUACGAAAGGCUAUAUGAAUAUUUAUAUAUUUGAAAUGUUUGUUUUUAAAAAUGUAUACGUAUGUGUGUUUCGAAAA